RNAcentral lists this ribosomal RNA (492 nucleotides) under uncultured bacterium. Its description in RNAcentral is "partial 16S ribosomal RNA". It matches the Rfam family "Bacterial small subunit ribosomal RNA", at positions 29 to 507 of the family's 1533-position model. The record is from RNAcentral.
AGUGAACGCUGGCGGUAGGCCUAACACAUGCAAGUCGAACGGCAGCACAGUAAGAGCUUGCUCUUACGGGUGGCGAGUGGCGGACGGGUGAGGAAUACAUCGGAAUCUACUUUUUCGUGGGGGAUAACGUAGGGAAACUUACGCUAAUACCGCAUACGACCUACGGGUGAAAGCAGGGGAUCUUCGGACUUUGCGCGAUUGAAUGAGCCGAUGUCGGAUUAGCUAGUUGGCGGGGUAAAGGCCCACCAAGGCGACGAUCCGUAGCUGGUCUGAGAGGAUGAUCAGCCACACUGGAAAUUAGACACGGUCCAGACUCCUACGGGAGGCAGCAGUGGGGAAUUUUGGACAAUGGGCGCAAGCCUGAUCCAGCCAUACCGCGUGGGUGAAGAAGGCCUUCGGGUUGUAAAGCCCUUUUGUUGGGAAAGAAAAGCAGCAGGUUAAUACCCCGCUGUUCUGACGGUACCCAAAGAAUAAGCACCGGCUAAUUUCGUG